UAUUAUCUUCAGGGCGGGGUGCAACUCCCCACCGGCGGUGUUUUUGCUAACCCAGCAAAUCAGCCCGCGAGCGCCUUUUCUCACGAAAAGGGUCAGCAGAUUUGGUGCCAAUCCAAAGCCGACGGUGAAAGUCCGGAUGAAAGAAGAAAUAG
Molecule: non-coding RNA, 152 nt
Filed under: Gammaproteobacteria bacterium
Lineage: Bacteria; Pseudomonadati; Pseudomonadota; Gammaproteobacteria
Description: FMN sequence
Rfam family: FMN riboswitch aptamer (RFN element)
About the family: The RFN element is a highly conserved domain that is found frequently in the 5'-untranslated regions of prokaryotic mRNAs that encode for flavin mononucleotide (FMN) biosynthesis and transport proteins. This element is a metabolite-dependent riboswitch that directly binds FMN in the absence of proteins. In Bacillus subtilis, the riboswitch most likely controls gene expression by causing premature transcription termination within the 5' untranslated region of the ribDEAHT operon and precluding access to the ribosome-binding site of ypaA mRNA.
Source: RNAcentral